AGAGUUUGAUCCUGGCUCAGGAGGAACGCUGGCGGCGUGCCUAAUACAUGCAAGUAGAACGCUGAAGAGAGGAGCUUGCUCUUCUUGGAUGAGUUGCGAACGGGUGAGUAACGCGUAGGUAACCUGCCUUGUAGCGGGGGAUAACUAUUGGAAACGAUAGCUAAUACCGCAUAACAAUGAAUGACACAUGUCAUUUAUUUGAAAGGGGCAAUUGCUCCACUACAAGAUGGACCUGCGUUGUAUUAGCUAGUAGGUGAGGUAACGGCUCACCUAGGCGACGAUACAUAGCCGACCUGAGAGGGUGAUCGGCCACACUGGGACUGAGACACGGCCCAGACUCCUACGGGAGGCAGCAGUAGGGAAUCUUCGGCAAUGGGGGCAACCCUGACCGAGCAACGCCGCGUGAGUGAAGAAGGUUUUCGGAUCGUAAAGCUCUGUUGUAAGUCAAGAACGAGUGUGAGAGUGGAAAGUUCACACUGUGACGGUAGCUUACCAGAAAGGGACGGCUAACUACGUGCCAGCAGCCGCGGUAAUACGUAGGUCCCGAGCGUUGUCCGGAUUUAUUGGGCGUAAAGCGAGCGCAGGCGGUUUGAUAAGUCUGAAGUUAAAGGCUGUGGCUCAACCAUAGUUCGCUUUGGAAACUGUCAAACUUGAGUGCAGAAGGGGAGAGUGGAAUUCCAUGUGUAGCGGUGAAAUGCGUAGAUAUAUGGAGGAACACCGGUGGCGAAAGCGGCUCUCUGGUCUGUAACUGACGCUGAGGCUCGAAAGCGUGGGGAGCGAACAGGAUUAGAUACCCUGGUAGUCCACGCCGUAAAC
This 816-nucleotide ribosomal RNA is filed under the name uncultured bacterium. RNAcentral describes it as "bacterial SSU rRNA". It matches the Rfam family "Bacterial small subunit ribosomal RNA", at positions 8 to 807 of the family's 1533-position model. The record is from RNAcentral.